GGAGACAGGUGAGAUGGCUGCCAUGGU
RNAcentral lists this non-coding RNA (27 nucleotides) under Mus musculus (house mouse). Lineage: Eukaryota; Metazoa; Chordata; Mammalia; Rodentia; Muridae. The record is from RNAcentral.